UAGUCGAUGGGAAACGGGUUAAUAUUCCCGUACUUCUUACAAUUGCGAUGGGGGGACGGAGAAGGCUAGGUGGGCCUGGCGACGGUUGUCCAGGUUCAAGUGUGUAGGCUUGAGAGUUAGGUAAAUCCGGCUCUCUUUAAGGCUGAGACACGACGUCGAGCAUCUACGGAUGUGAAGUCAUUGAUGCCAUGCUUCCAGGAAAAGCCUCUAAGCUUCAGAUUGUAAGGAAUCGUACCCCAAACCGAC
Molecule: ribosomal RNA, 246 nt
Filed under: Vibrio parahaemolyticus
Lineage: Bacteria; Pseudomonadati; Pseudomonadota; Gammaproteobacteria; Vibrionales; Vibrionaceae
Description: partial 23S ribosomal RNA
Rfam family: Bacterial large subunit ribosomal RNA
Source: RNAcentral